This 492-nucleotide ribosomal RNA is filed under the name uncultured bacterium. RNAcentral describes it as "partial 16S ribosomal RNA". It matches the Rfam family "Bacterial small subunit ribosomal RNA", at positions 29 to 507 of the family's 1533-position model. The record is from RNAcentral.
AGUGAACGCUGGCGGUAGGCCUAACACAUGCAAGUCGAACGGCAGCACAGUAAGAGCUUGCUCUUACGGGUGGCGAGUGGCGGACGGGUGAGGAAUACAUCGGAAUCUACUUUUUCGUGGGGGAUAACGUAGGGAAACUUACGCUAAUACCGCAUACGACCUACGGGUGAAAGCAGUGGAUCUUCGGACCUUGCGCGAUUGAAUGAGCCGAUGUCGGAUUAGCUAGUUGGCGGGGUAAAGGCCCACCAAGGCGACGAUCCGUAGCUGGUCUGAGAGGAUGAUCAGCCACACUGGAACUGAGACACGGUCAAGACUCCUACGGGAGGCAGCAGUGGGGAAUAUUGGACAAUGGGCGCAAGCCUGAUCCAGCCAUACCGCGUGGGUGAAGAAGGCCUUCGGGUUGUAAAGACCUUUUGUUGGGAAAGAAAAGCAGCAGGUUAAUACCCCGCUGUUCUGACGGUACCCAAAGAAUAAGCACCGGCUAACUUCGUG